GGGCCCGCACAAGCGGUGGAGCAUGUGGUUCAAUUCGACGCAACGCGAAGAACCUUACCCAGGCUUGAACAGCGAGUGACCCGCGACGAAAGUCGCCUUCCGCAAGGACACUCGUAGAGGUGCUGCAUGGCUGUCGUCAGCUCGUGUCGUGAGAUGUUGGGUUAAGUCCCGCAACGAGCGCAACCCUUGUCUGCUGUUGCCAUCACGUUAUGGUGGGCACUCUGCAGAGACUGCCGGUGAUAAACCGGAGGAAGGUGGGGAUGACGUCAAGUCAGCAUGGCCUUUAUGUCUGGGGCUACACACGUGCUACAAUGGCCGAUACAAACCGUCGCGAUACCGUAAGGUGGAGCUAAUCGGAGAAAGUCGGUCUCAGUUCGGAUUGUAGGCUGCAACUCGCCUGCAUGAAGUUGGAAUCGCUAGUAAUCGCGGAUCAGCACGCCGCGGUGAAUACGUUCCCGGGCCUU
RNAcentral lists this ribosomal RNA (464 nucleotides) under uncultured bacterium. RNAcentral describes it as "bacterial SSU rRNA". It matches the Rfam family "Bacterial small subunit ribosomal RNA", at positions 917 to 1382 of the family's 1533-position model. The record is from RNAcentral.